Small nuclear RNA from Delphinapterus leucas (beluga whale), 100 nucleotides. The record is from Ensembl. NCBI's taxonomy places the organism in Eukaryota, Metazoa, Chordata, Mammalia, Artiodactyla, Monodontidae.
AUAUACUUAUAAAAAACAAAAAACUGGAAAAACACACAGAAGACUAGCACAGCCCCUGCUGGAGGAUGACACACAAAUUCAUGACGUGUUCCAUAUAAUU